This 251-nucleotide long non-coding RNA is filed under the name Olea europaea (common olive). RNAcentral describes it as "long non-coding RNA (OEUR_LNC013609)". The record is from RNAcentral. Lineage: Eukaryota; Viridiplantae; Streptophyta; Magnoliopsida; Lamiales; Oleaceae.
UUAAGGGUCAGAAUUUUGAACUGAUCCCAUUUGGAGCUGGUCGAAGGAUUUGCCCUGGCACAACUUUUGGCAUUCAGAUGUUAAACUUGGUCCUCGCUAAUUUGUUGCACGCAUUUGAACUUUCAACUCCCUUUGAUGACAAAGUUGAUAUGAGUGUGAGUGCUGGACUGACAAAUAUGAAAGCAACCCCUCUUGAUGUGAUCCUUCGCCCGCGAUUAUCUCCAAGUCUGUAUUAAGUAGAAAGACAUAAN